Molecule: ribosomal RNA, 160 nt
Filed under: uncultured bacterium
Lineage: Bacteria
Description: partial 16S ribosomal RNA
Rfam family: Bacterial small subunit ribosomal RNA
Source: RNAcentral
UGGGGAAUAUUGCACAAUGGGCGCAAGCCUGAUGCAGCCAUGCCGCGUGUGUGAAGAAGGCCUUAGGGUUGUAAAGCACUUUCAGCGAGGAGGAAGGCGUUGUAGUUAAUAGCUGCAGCGAUUGACGUUACUCGCAGAAGAAGCACCGGCUAACUCCGUG